CCUAGGCUUUGAGCUGGCGGAAG
RNAcentral lists this non-coding RNA (23 nucleotides) under Cricetulus griseus (Chinese hamster). Lineage: Eukaryota; Metazoa; Chordata; Mammalia; Rodentia; Cricetidae. The record is from RNAcentral.